AGACAUGCAAUUAAUCCCAGAGCUUUAUUUCUGUGGAAUCCGGCUGGUAAGGCACAUUCACUUUCAAACGUAGGAAGCCUUGCCAUUCCAACGAAAGGUUCCAGUUGUUGUUAAAUCAACCUGAACUAACCCCUCGAAAAAGUUCUGCAUUCUGUUGGUUGAUUUGGUUUGGAGCUAAACCAUAUGCUUGUAUCGGUAAGGGUUUGGUGCCAAAAUGCACCUCCUCUACAGUGAUGCUCUGGUCCCACUGUUCCACAACCAUGUGCUGCU
Molecule: unclassified non-coding RNA, 270 nt
Filed under: Hevea brasiliensis (rubber tree)
Lineage: Eukaryota; Viridiplantae; Streptophyta; Magnoliopsida; Malpighiales; Euphorbiaceae
Source: RNAcentral